AGAGUUGUAGUGUAAUUGGCAACACAGGAGACUUUGACUCUCCUAUUCUGGGAUCGUACCCCAGCAACUCUUCCA
Molecule: transfer RNA, 75 nt
Filed under: Ackermannviridae sp.
Lineage: Duplodnaviria; Heunggongvirae; Uroviricota; Caudoviricetes; Pantevenvirales; Ackermannviridae
Description: tRNA-Gln
Rfam family: tRNA
About the family: Transfer RNA (tRNA) molecules are approximately 80 nucleotides in length. Their secondary structure includes four short double-helical elements and three loops (D, anti-codon, and T loops).
Source: RNAcentral